Molecule: long non-coding RNA, 1424 nt
Organism: Piliocolobus tephrosceles (Ugandan red Colobus)
Lineage: Eukaryota; Metazoa; Chordata; Mammalia; Primates; Cercopithecidae
Exons: 3
Source: RefSeq, a predicted model, not a curated record
CCGAAAAACAGCCCGGAGCCUGCCCACCUUCCUGGGAACGCAAUCCCCUCAGCGGCCGCGAGCGGCCGGGCCGCAGGACGCGGCGCCCGGUCCCGGGCAGGGGCCCUCUGAGGAAGGCGCCCCCCGCAGGCUGGGCGCCCCAAGAGAGCCGGCGGCCGGCCCCGCCUCGGGGAGCUGAGGGGAAGUCCCUCCCCGCCGAGGCCCCCUCCUGCCGGUCCCCACUCACCGCCGGUGUGUCUGGUUCUCAGCCGCGAGCUGGGGCUGCCGUGAGGAGGCGGCGGAGACGAGAUCUGGGGCCCCGCAGCCGGGUCAUCAUACCCCCCGCGCGAGCCGGCCCGGGCCCCGGCCCCCGCCCCCCGGAGCCGUCCCCGCGCCCGUCCCGCAGGGGGAGCCUCCUCAGCCUCCCACCCGCUCCACCACCCAGCCCCUUCCCGCCGCCGCCGCCGCCGCCUCAGCCCCGCGCGCUCCCGCCUCGGCUUCCUGCUGCCGUCCGGGGCUACCGCUGGGCCCCUUGCUCCGCAGCCGCCGUUGUCGCCAGACCCGACGAGCGGAACGCAGAGCGGCAACCCCUCCACCCGGACGGCCCCGCCUCGCCGGAACUAUUCACCCGCCCCGCGCCAUGACACCUACUGAGGCGGAAGUGCAGAUGAAUGGACUCUCUAGGACGACCGCAUAGUACUGAUCGCAGUGGGAGUGGGUGGGCCUCGAGUGGGUAGGCCUCCGUGGGGAGCCAGCGUGGAUCGAGUGCGGGGGCUGGACUUCCCGCCCCCUCCGCACCGUAGACUCCGCGGUGAUUUAAAGGUGCCUGGCAGUGGUAGGGGAUCCAACUGUAAAAUGUCAUCCCAGCUAGUGUGACAUCACCACAGUCUAGUGUGACACCCCCAGAGCCUGGGCAGUGUACAGGAAGACAGUGCCUAGCAGAGGAGCUCCACUGCUGGUGAAGGAUUACCUCAGAAACUUCCUUCUACUACUUAAAGAACUUAAAGUCCUCACAUUGGGCCGACCUGGGAAAUAUGAAGACAAAAAGAGUGGGUAAACAUGCCUGCUUGAUGGGCCAGAAAAAAGGCAGAAACCUGUGGUCUAGGUAUAACAGAUCCUGCUCAAAAUGAAAAGUUGUUCUGGCCCCUCAUCUGGUUUCAUGAUGGACAAUAUCUAGCAUGAGAGUGACAGGGAUUAGAAUAAUGGACAUUUUGGGGACUGCGUUCUAGCAGAAAUGAUGGAAUAGUGGAACAGAAGUUUGGAUGAAGGGGUAUCCUAUGGGAUUAAAGAAGAUUUGAAUACAAGCUUUCCUAAUAAAUGAAAGGGGAGGUGAAACUAGAGCAUGCCGAUGGCUGCACAGCAUUGUGAAUGCACUAAAUGCACUAACUGUCCACUUUAAAAUGUUUAGUAAUAUGUCAAUUUUAUCUAAAUAAAAAAAAAAGGAG